CCUACGGGAGGCUGCAGUGGGGAAUAUUGGACAAUGGGCGAAAGCCUGAUCCAGCCAUGCCGCGUGUGUGAAGAAGGCCUUCGGGUUGUAAAGCACUUUCAGUGGGGAAGAAAGCCUUGGGGCUAAUACCCUCGAGGAAGGACAUCACCCACAGAAGAAGCACCGGCUAACUCCGUGCCAGCAGCCGCGGUAAUACGGAGGGUGCGAGCGUUAAUCGGAAUUACUGGGCGUAAAGCGCGCGUAGGCGGUCUGAUAAGCCGGUUGUGAAAGCCCCGGGCUCAACCUGGGAACGGCAUCCGGAACUGUCAGGCUAGAGUGCAGGAGAGGAAGGUAGAAUUCCCGGUGUAGCGGUGAAAUGCGUAGAGAUCGGGAGGAAUACCAGUGGCGAAGGCGGCCUUCUGGACUGACACUGACGCUGAGGUGCGAAAGCGUGGGUAGCAAACAGGAUUAUACCCGAGUAGUC
This 463-nucleotide ribosomal RNA is filed under the name Vreelandella stevensii. RNAcentral describes it as "partial 16S ribosomal RNA". It matches the Rfam family "Bacterial small subunit ribosomal RNA", at positions 338 to 795 of the family's 1533-position model. The record is from RNAcentral. Lineage: Bacteria; Pseudomonadati; Pseudomonadota; Gammaproteobacteria; Oceanospirillales; Halomonadaceae.